Molecule: ribosomal RNA, 345 nt
Filed under: Triticum aestivum (bread wheat)
Lineage: Eukaryota; Viridiplantae; Streptophyta; Magnoliopsida; Poales; Poaceae
Description: partial small subunit ribosomal RNA
Source: RNAcentral
AUGGCGCUCGAGGGCAUUGUCCUUGGGGUCGGCCCCAUGGUUGAAGGAGAGGCCCGCGCGCUCUCCGCUUCGGCUAUGACGCGCGUCUUCAGCCACCUCCAUCUUCUCGACCCCAGCACCGACUUCAGAGCCCUGCUUGAGCCUGUGGACGAGCAGCGCUACACCGCCGCCGCCGAAGCCGUGAAGGACCAGGUGGAGGCCCUACUGCAAAAGUUCCUCGCCAUCGACCCCGCGCCCCCGGCUGACGGCGCCGCCGAACCUACGGCCACCGCCGAUGGUACAGGUGAUGGCAGUGUUGUCGAUGAUGGGGCACUCCUUGUGAGCGAUGGCAGCGCCCAAGGCUAA